RNAcentral lists this ribosomal RNA (253 nucleotides) under uncultured bacterium. Its description in RNAcentral is "partial 16S ribosomal RNA". It matches the Rfam family "Bacterial small subunit ribosomal RNA", at positions 524 to 776 of the family's 1533-position model. The record is from RNAcentral.
GACGGAGGAUGCAAGCGUUAUCCGGAAUGAUUGGGCGUAAAGCGUCCGCAGGUGGCUGUUCAAGUCUGCUGUCAAAGACCGGGGCUUAACUUCGGAAAGGCAGUGGAAACUGAACAGCUAGAGUAUGGUAGGGGCAGAGGGAAUUCCUGGUGUAGCGGUGAAAUGCGUAGAUAUCAGGAAGAACAUCGGUGGCGAAGGCGCUCUGCUGGACCAUAACUGACACUCAGGGACGAAAGCUAGGGGAGCGAAUGGG